This 207-nucleotide ribosomal RNA is filed under the name uncultured bacterium. RNAcentral describes it as "partial 16S ribosomal RNA". It matches the Rfam family "Bacterial small subunit ribosomal RNA", at positions 568 to 774 of the family's 1533-position model. The record is from RNAcentral.
UGCGCAGGCGGUUAUAUAAGACAGAUGUGAAAUCCCCGGGCUCAACCUGGGAACUGCAUUUGUGACUGUAUAGCUAGAGUACGGCAGAGGGGGAUGGAAUUCCGCGUGUAGCAGUGAAAUGCGUAGAUAUGCGGAGGAACACCGAUGGCGAAGGCAAUCCCCUGGGCCUGUACUGACGCUCAUGCACGAAAGCGUAGGGAGCAAACA